GGCUCAUUUCACCAUCGCGAGCUCGACCGCUCCUUCAAGCGAUGAUUUCGUUCAUCAACGAACACCGUGGUGUGUUCGGGGUCGAACCGAUCUGCAGACUGCUGCCGAUCGCCCCG
Molecule: regulatory RNA element, 116 nt
Rfam family: ALIL pseudoknot
Source: Rfam